RNAcentral lists this ribosomal RNA (497 nucleotides) under uncultured bacterium. RNAcentral's name for it is "partial 16S ribosomal RNA". It matches the Rfam family "Bacterial small subunit ribosomal RNA", at positions 28 to 507 of the family's 1533-position model. The record is from RNAcentral.
GAUGAACGCUGGCGGCGUGCCUAAUACAUGCAAGUCGAGCGAACAGACGAGGAGCUUGCUCCUCUGACGUUAGCGGCGGACGGGUGAGUAACACGUGGAUAACCUACCUAUAAGACUGGGAUAACUUCGGGAACCCGGAGCUAAUACCGGAUAAUAUAUUGAACCUCAUGGUUCAAUAGUGAAAGACGGUUUUGCUGUCACUUAUUCAUGGAUCCUCGCCGCAGUAGCGAGUUGGUAAGGUAACGGCUUACCAAGGCAACGAUGCGUAGCCGCCCUGAGAGGGUGAUCGGCCAGACGGGAACUGAGACACGGUACAGACUCCUACGGGAGGCAGCAGUAGGGAAUCUUCCGAAAUGGGCGAAAGCCUGAAGGAGCGAAGCCGCGUGGGUGAUGAAGGUCUUCGGAUAGGAAAACUCUGUUAUUAGGGAAGAACAAAAGUGUAAGUAAAUAUACACGUCUUGACGGUACCUAAUCAGAAAGCAACGGCUAACUACGUG